Molecule: ribosomal RNA, 223 nt
Filed under: uncultured bacterium
Lineage: Bacteria
Description: partial 16S ribosomal RNA
Rfam family: Bacterial small subunit ribosomal RNA
Source: RNAcentral
GUAUCAUGGCUCAGGAUGAACGCUGGCGGCGUGCUUAACACAUGCAAGUCGAACGGAACGCCAAGGAAAGAGUUUUCGGACAAUGGAAUUGGUUGUUUAGUGGCGGACGGGUGAGUAACGCGUGAGUAACCUGCCUUGGAGUGGGGAAUAACACAGUGAAAACUGUGCUAAUACCGCAUGAUAUAUUGGUGUCGCAUGGCACUGAUAUCAAAGNUUUAUCGCU